GGUUUAAUAAUUUGAAAUAUUUUGCGUUUUAUUUCUGUAUAUUCUGAUAUAAAAUGUCUUGUGAACAUUGGAGACAAAAAAAAGAGAUGAUCAGAGUUGCAAGAACAGGAAAUUGGAAGUAAGAAAGAUAUACCAAGUGAAUAAGAGAUGAGGGCAGAAAGAAACGAAGUAGAAGCGAAAGACCUGAGAGGAGAGAGAAGGAACGAGAUAUCGGCGAGAAAAGAGAGAUGCCAAAUAAGAAAGAGGAACAAAGAAAAAAUGGCACAAUAAGACUUCACUAUUUUUACGUUACCAUCCAAUUUCCUUUUUCUCGGAAGAAACGCUUGCUUUUGCAAGAUCUUCAUCUGAGAUGUACUUGGUAUCAUUUUCAUAUCUGACAUAUUCUCAACAAUAACGACGAAAAAGAGAUAAGAGAAGUGAGACAAGACAUUGGAAAUAAGAGAGAUGUGAGGGUAAUUGGACGAGUAAUUGGACGAGAUAGAGGCAAAAGGUGAGAUGAAAGAAGAAAAAAACCAGACAGAAGCGAAAGAUGAGGAAGGACAGACAAAAGACUGGAGAAACCAGAUAUUGGUGAGAGAGGAGAGACGAGAGAUAAAAAAUAAGAAAGGCAAAGAAAAAACGAAAUACAGUAAUGACGAAAUAGGGAUGAGAAUGGCGAGACAAGACAUUAGUAGGAAAAAGAUUUAAAGCGAGUGAUGAGAUGCGAUAGAUGAGAGCCGAGAGAUUAGAGAAGGAAAAAGCUGGGUAGAGUUGAAAGAGGAGUUGAGAGAUGAGAAAUGAGAUGUAUAUAAUUCAAGAUACAAGCAAGUCAAGAAAUUGGAAGUACGAAAGAGACGAGUGAUGAGAUAGAGGCGAAAAAUGAGAGAAGGAAGAAUUGAGAUGAAGGCGAAAAACAAGAGAGGAGAGAUAAAAGACUAGGGAGUGAUAUUGGUGAGAAAGCAAUGCUAAGAGAUGAAAAACGAGAAAGAGGUGAGAUAGAUGAAGACAAAACGAGUUAUAGAUGAGAGAAGAUAGA
Molecule: long non-coding RNA, 1015 nt
Organism: Atta colombica
Lineage: Eukaryota; Metazoa; Arthropoda; Insecta; Hymenoptera; Formicidae
Exons: 4
Source: RefSeq, a predicted model, not a curated record